This 433-nucleotide ribosomal RNA is filed under the name uncultured bacterium. Its description in RNAcentral is "partial 16S ribosomal RNA". It matches the Rfam family "Bacterial small subunit ribosomal RNA", at positions 29 to 507 of the family's 1533-position model. The record is from RNAcentral.
AACGAACGCUGGCGGCAGGCCUAACACAUGCAAGACGAGCGAGGACUUCGGUCCUAGCGGCGGACGGGUGAGUAACGCGUGGGAACGGGCCCUUUGCUUCGGAAUAGCCCUGGGAAACUGGGAGUAAUACCGGAUGAGCCCUUUGGGGGAAAGAUUUAUCGGCGAAGGAUCGGCCCGCGUUGGAUUAGGUAGUUGGUGGGGUAAUGGCCUACCAAGCCGACGAUCCAUAGCUGGUUUGAGAAGAUGAUCAGCCACACUGGGACUGAGACACGGCCCAGACUCCUACGGGAGGCAGCAGUGGGGAAUCUUAGACAAUGGGGGAAACCCUGAUCUAGCCAUGCCGCGUGAGCGAUGAAGGCCUUAGGGUUGUAAAGCUCUUUCAGCUGGGAAGAUAAUGACGGUACCAGCAGAAGAAGCCCCGGCUAACUCCGUG